AACAACGCUGGCGGCGUGCCUAACACAUGCAAGUCGUACGAGAAGUUGGCUUCGGCCAAUGAGUAAAGUGGCGCACGGGUGAGUAACGCGUGGAUAAUCUGCCCCUCAGUUGGGAAGUAACUCAUCGAAAGGUAGAGCUAAUACCGAAUAAAACUAGUGAGACCCGGUCCGAUCAGUCAAAGGAGCCUCUGCUUGCAAGCUUUCGCUGAAGGAUGAGUCCGCGUACCAUUAGCUGGUUGGUAGGGUAAUGGCCUACCAAGGCGACGAUGGUUAGCUGGUCUGAGAGGAUGAUCAGCCACACUGGAACUGAGACACGGUCCAGACUCCUACGGGUGGCAG
This 339-nucleotide ribosomal RNA is filed under the name uncultured Pseudomonadota bacterium. RNAcentral's name for it is "bacterial SSU rRNA". It matches the Rfam family "Bacterial small subunit ribosomal RNA", at positions 32 to 351 of the family's 1533-position model. The record is from RNAcentral. Lineage: Bacteria; Pseudomonadati; Pseudomonadota.